AUGGCCUGGACUGAAUGUCCCUCUUACGAAAAAUGGAGCAGUGCAGACCAUUGCCCAAAGAAGCAAGGAGGAGCAGGAGAAGGUGGAGGCAGACAUGAUCCAGCAGAGAGAAGAGUGGGACCGAAAGAGGAAGAUGAAGAAACAUAUGAGGAUUUUGAUACCAGGAUACUUGAGGUAAGAAAUGUUUUCACUAUGACAGCGAAAGACGGAAGAAAGAAAUCGAUCCGUGCCCUGGUGGCUGUGGGGAAUGGAAAAGGAGCUGCAGGUUUUGCUGUUGGGAAAGCCACUGAUCGGAUGGAUGCUUUCAGGAAAGCAAAGAACAGAGCAGUUCACUAUUUGCAUUAUAUAGAACGAUAUGAAGACCAUACAAUAUUCCAUGAUAUUUCAUGAAGAUUUAAAAGGACGCAUAUCAAGAUGAAGAAACAACCCAAAGGUUAUGGCCUCCGCUGCCACAGGGCCAUCAUCACCAUCUGCCGGCUCAUUGGCAUCAAAGACAUGUAUGCCAAGGUCUCUGGGUCCAUUAAUAUGCUCAGCCUCACCCAGGGCCUCUUCCGUGGGCUCUCCAGACAGGAAACCCAUCAACAACUGGCUGAUAAGAAGGGCCUCCAUGUUGUGGAAAUCCGGGAGGAAUGUGGCCCUCUGCCCAUUGUGGAUGCCUCCCCCCGGGGGGCCUUGAGGAAGGAUCCGGAGCUGGAAGAUGAGGUUCCAGACAUCAAACUGGACUGGGAAGAUGUGAAGACUGCGCAGGGAAUGAAGCGCUCUGUGUGGUCUAAUUUAAAGAGAGCCGCCAUGUAACCUCUCUGGCCUUGUGCAGCCAGUUCCUGUGCUGCCCCGCACCUAGGAGAGACAGCCCCUCACAGCUUGGGGUGUUGCCUUGCCUUUUGUUUGUUUUGAGGAAAGUUUAAUCUUUAAACUCUUUAGCAAUAAAUAAUUAUACUU
RNA transcript from Nomascus leucogenys (northern white-cheeked gibbon), 939 nucleotides. It is a transcript of the gene named 28S ribosomal protein S5, mitochondrial-like, with no coding region annotated. The record is from RefSeq and is a predicted model, not a curated record. The transcript has 2 exons. Lineage: Eukaryota; Metazoa; Chordata; Mammalia; Primates; Hylobatidae.